GUGCUCACCAGUUGGUAGUACGGUAUUGUGUGUGGUCGCGUAGAGAAGUACCGCUCCUCUCUUAGUUAGUUUUAACUUAGUGGCGUAGUUAUAACGUAGCUAAACCCACUACUUUGCAAUUAUGAUCAUGGAUGCCGCUGCCACCGUGGAGAACCCCGUGGGAUCCCCCAGUGAAGUGCCCAACGAUCCAGGCAAAAUGUUCAUCGGAGGACUCAGCUGGCAAACCACAGCAGAAGGGCUGAGGGAGUAUUUCAGCAAGUUUGGUGAUAUUAAUGAAGUGAUGGUCAUGAAAGAUCCCACAACGCGUCGUUCCAGG
This is a long non-coding RNA of Homarus americanus (American lobster), 316 nucleotides long. RefSeq lists it as uncharacterized. The transcript has 3 exons. Lineage: Eukaryota; Metazoa; Arthropoda; Malacostraca; Decapoda; Nephropidae. The record is from RefSeq and is a predicted model, not a curated record.